CACGCAGGCGGUUGGAUAAGUUAGAUGUGAAAGCCCCGGGCUCAACCUGGGAAUUGCAUUUGAAACUGUUCCCCUUGAGUAUCGGAGAGGCAAGCGGAAUUCCUAGUGUAGCGGUGAAAUGCGUAGAUAUUAGGAGGAACACCAGUGGCGAAGGCGGCUUGCUGGACGACAACUGACGCUGAGGCGCGAAAGCGUGGGGAGCAAACA
Molecule: ribosomal RNA, 207 nt
Filed under: uncultured bacterium
Lineage: Bacteria
Description: partial 16S ribosomal RNA
Rfam family: Bacterial small subunit ribosomal RNA
Source: RNAcentral